RNAcentral lists this ribosomal RNA (497 nucleotides) under uncultured bacterium. Its description in RNAcentral is "partial 16S ribosomal RNA". It matches the Rfam family "Bacterial small subunit ribosomal RNA", at positions 28 to 507 of the family's 1533-position model. The record is from RNAcentral.
GAUGAACGCUGGCGGCGUGCCUAAUACAUGCAAGUCGAGCGAACAGACGAGGAGCUUGCUCCUCUGACGUUAGCGGCGGACGGGUGAGUAACACGUGGAUAACCUACCUAUAAGACUGGGAUAACUUCGGGAAACCGGAGCUAAUACCGGAUAAUAUAUUGAACCGCAUGGUUCAAUAGUGAAAGACGGUUUUGCUGUCACUUAUAGAUGGAUCCGCGCCGCAUUAGCUAGUUGGUAAGGUAACGGCUUACCAAGGCGACGAUGCGUAGCCGACCUGAGAGGGUGAUCGGCCACACUGGAACUGAGACACGGUCCAGACUCCUACGGGAGGCAGCAGUAGGGAAUCUUCCGCAAUGGGCGAAAGCCUGACGGAGCAACGCCGCGUGAGUGAUGAAGGUCUUCGGAUCGUAAAACUCUGUUAUUAGGGAAGAACAAAUGUGUAAGUAACUAUGUACGUCUUGACGGUACCUAAUCAGAAAGCCACGGCUAACUACGUG